UCUGUGAGUGUGCUUCCUGCAAGAGAG
RNAcentral lists this small RNA (27 nucleotides) under Bombyx mori (domestic silkworm). RNAcentral's name for it is "ovarian small RNA-30041". The record is from RNAcentral. Lineage: Eukaryota; Metazoa; Arthropoda; Insecta; Lepidoptera; Bombycidae.